This 507-nucleotide ribosomal RNA is filed under the name uncultured bacterium. Its description in RNAcentral is "partial 16S ribosomal RNA". It matches the Rfam family "Bacterial small subunit ribosomal RNA", at positions 28 to 507 of the family's 1533-position model. The record is from RNAcentral.
GACGAACGCUGGCGGCGUGCUUAACACAUGCAAGUCGAACGGGCCUUGUCCCCUUUUUUUUUGGGGGUGGGGUUAGUGGCGAACGGGUGAGUAACACGUGAGUAACCUGCCCCUCACUUCUGGAUAACCGCUUGAAAGGGUGGCUAAUACGGGGUGUUCUGGCCUGCUCGCAUGGGUGGGUUUGGAAAGAUUCGACCGGUUUGGUUGUUUUGGUGGGGGAUGGGCUCGCGGCCUAUCAGCUUGUUGGUGGGGGGAUGGCCUGCCAAGGCUUUGACGGGUAGCCGGCCUGAGAGGGUGGGCGGUCACACUGGGACUGAGACACGGCCCAGACUCCUACGGGAGGCAGCAGUGGGGAAUAUUGCACAAUGGGCGCAAGCCUGAUGCAGCGACGCCGCGUGAGGGAUGGAGGCCUUCGGGUUGUGAACCUCUUUCGCCAGUGAAGAAGGUCCUGCUCUUUGUGGUGGGGUUGACGGUAGCUGGGUUAAUGAAGCGCCGGCUAACUACGUG